AAUGUAGCUAAAAGUCUACAGUAGUGUACAGUAAUAACCUUAGUUCUUCACAUUCACUCACCACUAACUCAUUGAUUCACCCAGAGAAACCUCCAGUCCUGCAGGCUCCAUUCAUGGCAAGUGCACUAUACAGAUGUACCACUUUUUAUCUUUUACACUGUAUUUUUACCAUGCCUUUUCUAUGUUUAGAUACAUAAAUACUAUUAGUGGGCUAUACCAACUAGGUUAAUGUAUAUACAUUUUUUUAAUUUGAGACGGAGUCUCCCUCUGUCACCAGGCUGGAUUGCAGUGGUGCAAUCUCGGCUCACUGCAACCUCUGCCUCCCAGUUUCAAGUGAUUCCGCUGGCUCAGCCUCCGGAAUACCUGAGAGUACAGGCGCGUGCUGCCACACCUGGCUAAUUUUUUGUAUUUUUUUAAUUAGAGAUGGGGUUUCACCAUGUUGGCCAGGAUGGUCUUGGUAUAUACACUUUGAUGCUCACAUAAUGAUGAAAUCACCUAGUGAUGUGUUUUUCAGACCAUCUCCCUAUAGUUAAGCAAAGCAUGACUGUAUUUUGGGCCUUCUGAAAUCCUCUCCCAUUUAUCUCAAACUCGUUUUUAUAUUUUUGUCACUUUAUACUGUAUUCUGGAUGGUUUUUGCAUAUAAGCCUGAUAGUUAACUUAUUUUUCUUUAACUGCAUGUUAGUAUGUUUAACAUGGCAAUUGAAGUUAACGUCUUAAUAAUUGACUUUUCACUUCUAGAAGUUUUACUUGGUUCUUUUUCAAAGCUUAUCUUAUAAUAUCUAUAACACGUUAUAAUGUUUAAUGUUUUAAAUAUAUUUAUAUGGUAUUUUUCCAGAUUUGUUAUAGUCCCCCCUCGUUAAAUACCAUGUUGCUUGUAUUUGCUGAUUCUCUGUCAUGUCCCUCCCUCAUGAUGUUCUUUAGUUAUUUUGUGUGCUUUUUAUUUUCUAUUUUGAGUAAUUUUGGUAAUUUGGAUUUCUUUAGAUAUCCAAGAAGCCCUGGUUUAGAAACCAUCCCUGCAGUACAUUUGCCCUCAUGGGGGCCUUAGGAGUUGCACAGGUUCUGGACCAGUUACCAUUUUAUUGCCUCAUCCUGAUUUUCCUAAAUCUCUAGAUGGCAGAUCCCCACAUUAUCACAUAAUCCCCACACUGUCAUAGGUUUGGAGUCCUGUUUUCUCAUGGGUGACUUUUUCUUAUCACCCAAGAAUGUAGGGUAGGGAUUAUUUUUUAAAUUAUCUUUUUUCUUUUUCAUGCUUCAUGGUCAAUAUGGCCUUGUAGGUUAUAGAAUUAUGCAAUAGAUUCCCAUAUAGGUCUUAAACUUGUUACACAGUGAAAGUUAGAACCUAAGCUCUCGGGUCCUGGCACCUAGGGUCUGAUGCACACAUGUUCUACAAGAACUUUAGGUUCUUUUUAGUAUUCUAACCUUGAUAUGGUCAGGCUUUGUGUCCCCACCCAAAUCGUAUCUUGAAUUAUAAUCCACAUAAUCCCCACAUGUUGAGGGCAGGAACUGGUGGGAAGUGAUUGGAUCAUGAGGGCAGUUCCCCCAUGCUGAUCUCAUGAUGGAGAGUGAGUUCUCACAAAAGCUGAUGGUUUUUAUAAGGGGUUGUUUGCUCUUGCCUACACUUCUCUCUCUCGCCACCAUGUGAAGAAAGUCCUUGCUUCUCCUUCAUUUUCUCCCAUGAUUAUAAGUUUCCUGAGGCUUCCCAAGCCAUGCAGAACUGCGACUCAAUUAAACCUCUUUUCUUUAUAAAUUACCCAGUCUCAGACAGUUCUUUAUAGCAGUAUGAAAAUGGGCUAAUACAAACUUGGAAGUCCCACUUCAUUUAUGGCAUCCAGGGAUUACUUAUGUUUUAUCGAGCAUUUCUGCAUUUACAUGGGAGGCUAAACUUUCACACCAGCUUAGCCUUCCAUUUUGACAGGAACUGGUCAGCAUACAGAUGAAUAAUUAUAAAUAUGCUUGGCUAAAAUACAAUAAGUUAUGUUCCUAAAAUAUUUCUAUUUUUGAAAUUGCAAAUAUUUCAGAGCUUAUUUUGAUGUAUCAUUAUUGUUUUAAUCUCUGAGAGAUCAACAAUAACUGAAAACUGAAAGCCUCAUGGUUCCAUGUUAUCACCAAGUAUAUAGGAGUAUGAAUCACCAAACAAUGAUGAGGCUUUGUGUACAAAUGAUGAAGUCCUUUGUACACAGUGUCUAACAAUGUUUGUUUUCUGGGUUUUGACUCAUGUCAUUCUUUACAGGUACCACUGCUUGCUGCCAUUCCUGGUUGCUUGAUGGCAGUAGGGUGUCUUGGCUAAGUGCUCCGCUUCUCUAAUUGCUGUGGGCCAGAGAAGUCAGUCUUUCAACAAAGGCCUAUAAAGUGGAAUUAGCCAUACACUUUCUUGUUAUUUUAUUAAACCAUUAUAAUUAUCCCAGGAAAACUGGAAAACCUAUGAAUACACAGAAAACUAGCAAAUUUGUAAGUUGGUUUUAACAUCAAUGGGUUCUCUGGCUACCUCCUCUCUAUUUCUACAAUAAAGUGUCUUUCUCAUUUACUAUUUUAACUGUUUACUAUCUGUCUUAUCAUUGGAAUACAUGCUUCAGAAAUUGGCAUACUGUCAUUGUGUUCACUCUUCGCACCCCAGUGACUCCUCAGUGAAUGGUACUCUGUAGACACUCAAUAAAUAUUUGUCGAAUCAAUGAAUAGAGGUGGAAAACUGAAUAACAGAGCUAGAAAUAGUGACUAGUAUAGUCUUGAUCCAUAGAUUAUAUACUAUACCUUUUAAAUUUUAUUUUUUAAUUGGCAAGUAAUAAUUGUACAUAUCCAUGGGAUGCAUAGUGGUGUUUUGAGACAUACAACGUGUAGUAAUCAGAUACAUUAUACUUUUAAAGAACUCUCAGAAAUAGGAAUUUUCAGUAGUCAGUACUAACUUGUUCAGGAUAUCCUCAAGUGUAACAAAACUUUUUUUUCUUGGCUCUAAUUUAUGUCUUCCCUUUAUUCAACCUUCUCUGUAGUAUAGGAGUUGGUAACCUGCACGAUCCCUGCUUUUGAGUUUAAUCUAAGAAUAUCUACAAAGUCAAUGACGCACUGAAUCCCAGCAGUUAUAUACUCUGAAGAUGACAACUUUCUCCAAAGUUUGAAGACAGAUGAUGAAAUAUUGAAAUGUUUCAGAAAUAGACUUCUCAGAGUUGCUUUUUAGUUUUCAUGGGAGAAGAGAGAAAUAUAUAGUGAUAAAUUAAUUAAUUAAAUCAUAGCUAGUAAACUCAUACUUAAAGUGAGACAUCCCAUAGCUCAGUCAAUAUGAAUAUUAGAAUUUUUAGAAGAAAAUAUUACAGUAUCAUUCUUUUAAAAAAACAGAACAUAUUGUAUUUAAGACAUACAAGAUAAGCUCUUGUUCAUUUAAGACCAAAGCUUAUAGCUAAAGUGAACUUCUGCUCUAAAAUUUAAUCUUUUCUCCUCAAACUAAAUGUAUCAGACAUCACUUAGUAAAUUGUAAUAACUACAGCCAAAUAUGUACAAAUAUGACUAACCCGAGAGUUGGCGCCAAACUAGUUUUGACCUUUCAUUGUAAAAUGAUCCUUUAUGGUCUUCCAAAAGACGUGGACGUGUUUUAGUGGCCACAAACAACAAUUCAAAUGUCAUGUUGUAAAAUAAAGUGAAAACAAAGCUUCUUACAUAGGAAACGAAUUUUAAUUAAGGUCAAGAAUCUUAUCUGCAUUAGAGUUUAUAUUUGUUCUAGCCUAUACUGAACCUGUUUGAUGGUUCAUUCUUAGCUUUGAAUGACUUAAAGGCUCUCACAACAUUAAGGGCAUGAAAGUUAACCUACUUUAAUUAAAUCUGAUAGUUGAUUGAAAGUAAAUAAUACUUUGAAAUAAUUUCUAACUAUGGAGAUUGAAGAAGCCGCUCCAGAAUCAUUUCAAUUGCUACCAAAUUAACCCCUCCCAGAGAGGAAUGGAUAAUGACAUCAACCCUUUGAACCUAUUGAAAACUAAUCUAAUUAGAGACAUUUUGCUGAAAGGCAAGAGUAGAUAAAAGAAGAAGGAGAGAGAGCAAAAAUUGCAGCAACUUUUUUGGGGGGUCUGGCUCUUGUAAAAUGUAUUAGUCACAAAAAGUAUAGAAACACCUUUAGGAAACUUUCUUUUCUUGUACCCACUAACGACUCAAGGAACUCAAUUAAAUCAAGAUAUUUCUAGUCUUCCAAAGAUAGAUAAGAGGAAGAGAAGAAAGGAGAUAUGAAUAAAGGAAAAAGGGAAAGGAAAGGAAAAGCUUUUAGUUAUUGAGCAAUUCCUUUGUAUCAGAAUUCCAUUAAGGGCUUUUCAUAGAUUAGCUAAUACAAAUCUUACAUAAGAAAAUUAUUAGUAUCCCCAUUUCAUAGAUGAAGAAACAAAGGCACAGAAAGGUAAAAUGGUGAGUAAUUUUCCCAGAAUCAGACAGUUAUCUAAAAGCAACACUGUGAUUUUAAACUCGGGUCUAGUCUACUAAUGCCUUCAUUCUUUUUAAGUAUUACUCCAAAUGGCUUCCAAUAAUAAUGAAAAAUAACAGCAAAACUUCCAGGAAAUGCUCUAAGCAGUGUUCCUACCCACAUCCUCUAAACAUAAUUUUCUGGAUGUGAUAAAAUUUAGUAAUUUCACCCAGUUUAUUACUUGCCUUGGGGAGAUUCAAAUGAAGGCAGAACUGUAAAAAUUACAAUGAUGAUAUGACACAAAAUACACAUUUAAUAACUAUUUACUCUUCAUAAUUAUGAUAAAAACUACAAAUGUGUAACUUAAAUGGAAUAGUUUACUAAUUUGUUUUAGACUUAACACUAAACACUUACUAAGGAGAUAAUCUUGUUUCUACUAGAAUACGUUUGGUCAGAAGCAGAAGUUGACCACAUGAUGGAAAAUACAAUUAUUAGCUCUUCUCCCUCAUAGGAAGAAGCUACGUCGCUUUCUGCAAGUCUCUUAACUCUUAAGGAACCUACACUCCCAUCUCCUACAUGAGCGGCAAUUGCUAGAAGAUGUCUCAGGUCACUUCAAGCCCUAAGUUGCUACAUUAACCCUGCACUGCUGUGGUCUCUAGACAACAAGAUAUUUGAAAAAGGACGGAAAUUGAAAUACUAUCUUUCCAUGGGAGCUGACAUUUAUUACUACGUUGACAUUUAUUACUAUUACUCAUUUAAUUUUACAGAAGUCCUAUAACUAGACAGUUAUUAAGAAAAGCAGAGGUCAAAUGACUUGUCCAAGACCACGCAGCCCAUAAAGAGCCUGCCUGUGUCCAAUAUACGUGCUUUCUCUAUAAUAUUUUCUUCCAAAGAAUACCUAAGCCUACAUGUAAUGCAGAAUAAAAUAUACCAUCUCACUCUAUGAUGGUUUUAUGAAUAGUUAAUUGUAGUUAUAGUUGCAAUCAUAAUAACAAUAUCUAACAAUCACUAUGAGCCAGGUACCAUUCUAAAAGCUUGAGUGAAUUAACUCACUCAAUUGUCACAACAAAGCUAUUAGGUAGAUACUAUACUAUCCCCAUUUUAUAUAUGGAAACUGAGGUACAGAAAUGUUAAAUAACUAAUCGAAGGUCACCAGAUAGUGCAUGUCAGUCCUGGCUGGAAUUUGGACACAGGCAC
Molecule: long non-coding RNA, 5569 nt
Filed under: Homo sapiens (human)
Lineage: Eukaryota; Metazoa; Chordata; Mammalia; Primates; Hominidae
Description: HSALNT0334729
Source: RNAcentral